Molecule: ribosomal RNA, 410 nt
Filed under: uncultured Gemmatimonadota bacterium
Lineage: Bacteria; Pseudomonadati; Gemmatimonadota
Description: bacterial SSU rRNA
Rfam family: Bacterial small subunit ribosomal RNA
Source: RNAcentral
GAGUUUGAUCUUGGCUCAGGACGAACGCUGGCGGCGUGCUUAACACAUGCAAGUCGAACGGACCCUGUGGGGCUUGCUCUGCAGGGUUAGUGGCGAACGGGUGCGUAACACGUGAGGAAUCUGUCCUUCGCGGGGAUAGCCGGCCCAACGGCCGGGUAAUACCGCGUACGCUCGUUCCGGGCAUCCCGGGGCGCGGAAAGCCGCAAGGCGCCGAUGGAGGAUCUCGCGGCCUAUCAGCUAGUUGGCGGGGUAAUGGCCCACCAAGGCGACGACGGGUAGCUGGUCUGAGAGGAUGGCCAGCCACAUUGGGACUGAGACACGGCCCAGACUCCUACGGGAGGCAGCAGUGGGGAAUCUUGCGCAAUGGGCGAAAGCCUGACGCAGCGACGCCGCGUGUGGGAUGACGGCCU